UAACAGUUGGUGUAUAGGCACUUUUUAAUUUGACUGAGAAGGGAAUAGUGUAAUUCUAUUACUGUUAA
Molecule: transfer RNA, 68 nt
Filed under: Leucolepas longa
Lineage: Eukaryota; Metazoa; Arthropoda; Thecostraca; Neolepadidae
Also listed under: 2 other names
Description: tRNA-Gln
Source: RNAcentral